AGCGAACGCUGGCGGCAGGCUAAACACAUGCAAGUCGAGCGGGCACUUUCGGGUGUCAGCGGCGGACGGGUGAGUAACGCGUGGGAACGUGCCCUCUGGUUCGGAAUAACUCAGGGAAACUUGAGCUAAUACCGGAUACGCCCUUUUGGGGAAAGGCUUGCUGCCGGAGGAUCGGCCCGCGUCUGAUUAGCUAGUUGGUGAGGUAACGGCUCACCAAGGCGACGAUCAGUAGCUGGUCUGAGAGGAUGAUCAGCCACACUGGGACUGAGACACGGCCCAGACUCCUACGGGAGGCAGCAGUGGGGAAUAUUGGACAAUGGGCGCAAGCCUGAUCCAGCCAUGCCGCGUGAGUGAUGAAGGCCUUAGGGUUGUAAAGCUCUUUUAUCCGGGACGAUAAUGACGGUACCGGAGGAAUAAGCCCCGGCUAACUUCGUG
This 435-nucleotide ribosomal RNA is filed under the name uncultured bacterium. Its description in RNAcentral is "partial 16S ribosomal RNA". It matches the Rfam family "Bacterial small subunit ribosomal RNA", at positions 29 to 507 of the family's 1533-position model. The record is from RNAcentral.